Molecule: ribosomal RNA, 468 nt
Filed under: uncultured bacterium
Lineage: Bacteria
Description: partial 16S ribosomal RNA
Rfam family: Bacterial small subunit ribosomal RNA
Source: RNAcentral
GACGAACGCUGGCGGCGUGCUUAACACAUGCAAGUCGAACGGAAAGGCCCUGCGUUUGUGGGGUUCUCGAGUGGCGAACGGGUGAGUAACACGUGAGUAACCUGCCCUUGACUUUGGGAUAACUUCAGGAAACUGGGGCUAAUACCGCAUAGGAUCUCCUGCUGCAUGGUGGGGGUUGGAAAGUUUCGGCGGUUGGGGAUGGACUCGCGGCUUAUCAGCUUGUUGGUGGGGUAGUGGCUUACCAAGGCUUUGACGGGUAGCCGGCCUGAGAGGGUGACCGGCGACAAUGGGACUGAGAUACGGACCAGAAUGCUACGGGAGGCAGCAGUGGGGAAUAUUGCACAGUGGGCGGAAGCCUGAGGCAGCAACGCCGCGUGCGGGAUGACGGCCUUCGGGUUGUAAACAGCUUUCGCCUGUGACGAAGCGUGAGUGACGGUAAUGGGUAAAGAAGCACCGGCUAACUACGUG